AUUGAACGCUGGCGGCAGGCCUAACACAUGCAAGUCGAGCGGAUGAAGGGAGCUUGCUCCUGGAUUCAGCGGCGGACGGGUGAGUAAUGCCUAGGAAUCUGCCUGGUAGUGGGGGAUAACGUCCGGAAACGGGCGCUAAUACCGCAUACGUCCUGAGGGAGAAAGUGGGGGAUCUUCGGACCUCACGCUAUCAGAUGAGCCUAGGUCGGAUUAGCUAGUUGGUGGGGUAAAGGCCUACCAAGGCGACGAUCCGUAACUGGUCUGAGAGGAUGAUCAGUCACACUGGAACUGAGACACGGUCCAGACUCCUACGGGAGGCAGCAGUGGGGAAUAUUGGACAAUGGGCGAAAGCCUGAUCCAGCCAUGCCGCGUGUGUGAAGAAGGUCUUCGGAUUGUAAAGCACUUUAAGUUGGGAGGAAGAGCAGUAAGUUAAUACCUUGCUGUUUUGACGUUACCAACAGAAAAAGCACCGGCUAACUUCGUG
This 484-nucleotide ribosomal RNA is filed under the name uncultured bacterium. RNAcentral describes it as "partial 16S ribosomal RNA". It matches the Rfam family "Bacterial small subunit ribosomal RNA", at positions 30 to 507 of the family's 1533-position model. The record is from RNAcentral.